CCUACGGGUGGCAGCAGUGAGGAAUAUUGGUCAAUGGACGAGAGUCUGAACCAGCCAAGUAGCGUGAAGGAUGACUGCCCUAUGGGUUGUAAACUUCUUUUAUAUGGGAAUAAAAUGUUCCACGUGUGGGAUUUUGUAUGUACCAUAUGAAUAAGAAUCGGCUAACUCCGUGCCAGCAGCCGCGGUAAUACGGAGGAUCCGAGCGUUAUCCGGAUUUAUUGGGUUUAAAGGGCGCGUAGGUGGAUUGUUAAGUCAGUUGUGAAAGUUUGCGGCGCAACAGCAAAAUGGCAGUGGAAACUGGCAGUCUUGAGUACAGUAGAGGUGGGCGGAAUUCGUGGUGUAGCGGUGAAAUGCUUAGAUAUCACGAAGAACUCCGAUGGCGAAGGCAGUUCACUGGACUGCAACUGACACUGAGGCUCGAAAGUGUGGGUAUCAAACAGGAUUAGAUACCCUUGUAGUC
RNAcentral lists this ribosomal RNA (460 nucleotides) under uncultured bacterium. RNAcentral describes it as "partial 16S ribosomal RNA". It matches the Rfam family "Bacterial small subunit ribosomal RNA", at positions 338 to 795 of the family's 1533-position model. The record is from RNAcentral.